AGUGAACGCUGGCGGUAGGCCUAACACAUGCAAGUCGAACGGCAGCACAGUAAGAGCUUGCUCUUACGGGUGGCGAGUGGCGGACGGGUGAGGAAUACAUCGGAAUCUACUUUUUCGUGGGGGAUAACGUAGGGAAACUUACGCUAAUACCGCAUACGACCUACGGGUGAAAGCAGGGGAUCUUCGGACCUUGCGCGAUUGAAUGAGCCGAUGUCGGAUUAGCUAGUUGGCGGGGUAAAGGCCCACCAAGGCGACGAUCCGUAGCUGGUCUGAGAGGAUGAUCAGCCACACUGGAACUGAGACACGGUCCAGACUCCUACGGGAGGCAGCAGUGGGGAAUAUUGGACAAUGGGCGCAAGCCUGAUCCAGCCAUACCGCGUGGGUGAAGAAGGCCUUCGGGUUGGAAAGCCCUUUUGUUGGGAAAGAAAAGCAGCAGGUUAAUACCCCGCUGUUCUGGCGGUACCCAAAGAAUAAGCACCGGCUAACUUCGUG
This 492-nucleotide ribosomal RNA is filed under the name uncultured bacterium. Its description in RNAcentral is "partial 16S ribosomal RNA". It matches the Rfam family "Bacterial small subunit ribosomal RNA", at positions 29 to 507 of the family's 1533-position model. The record is from RNAcentral.